This 171-nucleotide ribosomal RNA is filed under the name uncultured bacterium. Its description in RNAcentral is "partial 16S ribosomal RNA". The record is from RNAcentral.
CACGCCCUAAACGAUGAAUGCUAGGUGUUGGUUGGUUACAAUCAGUGCCGUCGCUCACGCAUGAAGCAUUCCGCCUGGGGAGUACNGCGCAAAACCUUACCAGCCUUUGACAUGCCUUCUGUAGGCCUGAGAGAUCAGGUUUUUCGGUUUGGCCGGGAAGAGCACAGGUGC